This 680-nucleotide ribosomal RNA is filed under the name uncultured bacterium. RNAcentral's name for it is "bacterial SSU rRNA". It matches the Rfam family "Bacterial small subunit ribosomal RNA", at positions 111 to 805 of the family's 1533-position model. The record is from RNAcentral.
UAACACGUGAGAAAUCUGCCCUUGACUCUGGGAUAACUGCGGGAAACUGUAGCUAAUACCGGAUACUUUCCCUGGUGGGCAUCCACUAGGGAAGAAAGAAUUUCGGUCAAGGAUGAUCUCGCGGCCUAUCAGCUAGUUGGUGAGGUAAUGGCUCACCAAGGCGACGACGGGUAGCCGGCCUGAGAGGGUGACCGGCCACACUGGAACUGAGACACGGUCCAGACUCCUACGGGAGGCAGCAGUGGGGAAUAUUGCACAAUGGGCGAAAGCCUGAUGCAGCAACGCCGCGUGAGGGACGAAGGCCUUCGGGUUGUAAACCUCUUUUAGCAGGGAAGAAGCGAAAGUGACGGUACCUGCAGAAAAAGCACCGGCUAACUACGUGCCAGCAGCCGCGGUAAUACGUAGGGUGCAAGCGUUGUCCGGAAUUAUUGGGCGUAAAGAGCUCGUAGGCGGUUUGUCACGUCUGCUGUGAAAUUUCGAGGCUCAACCUCGAACUUGCAGUGGGUACGGGCAGGCUAGAGUGCGGUAGGGGAGAUGGGAAUUCCUGGUGUAGCGGUGGAAUGCGCAGAUAUCAGGAGGAACACCAAUGGCGAAGGCACAUCUCUGGGCCGUAACUGACGCUGAGGAGCGAAAGCGUGGGGAGCGAACAGGAUUAGAUACCCUGGUAGUCCACGCCGUAA